This 552-nucleotide ribosomal RNA is filed under the name uncultured bacterium. Its description in RNAcentral is "partial 16S ribosomal RNA". It matches the Rfam family "Bacterial small subunit ribosomal RNA", at positions 355 to 898 of the family's 1533-position model. The record is from RNAcentral.
UAGGGAAUCUUCCACAAUGGACGCAAGUCUGAUGGAGCAACGCCGCGUGAGUGAAGAAGGUUUUCGGACCGUAAAGCUCUGUUGUUGGUGAAGAAGGAUAGAGGUAGUAACUGGCCUUUAUUUGACGGUAAUCAACCAGAAAGUCACGGCUAACUACGUGCCAGCAGCCGCGGUAAUACGUAGGUGGCAAGCGUUGUCCGGAUUUAUUGGGCGUAAAGCGAGCGCAGGCGGAAGAAUAAGUCUGAUGUGAAAGCCCUCGGCUUAACCGAGGAAUUGCAUCGGAAACUGUUUUCUUGAGUGCAGAAGAGGAGAGUAGAACUCCAUGUGUAGCGGUGGAAUGCGUAGAUAUAUGGAAGAAUACCAGUGGCGAAGGCGGCUCUCUGGUCUGCAACUGACGCUGAGGCUCGAAAGCAUGGGUAGCGAACAGGAUUAGAUACCCUGGUAGUCCAUGCCGUAAACGAUGAGUGCUAAGUGUUGGGAGGUUUCCGCCUCUCAGUGCUGCAGCUAACGCAUUAAGCACUCCGCCUGGGGGAGUACGACCGCAAGGUUGAA